UACGAAGGGGGCUAGCGUUGUUCGGAAUCACUGGGCGUAAAGCGCAUGCAGGCGGAUCGCUAAGUCGGGGGUGAAAGCCCGAGGCUCAACCUCGGAACUGCCUUCGAUACUGGCGAUCUUGAGUCCGGGAGAGGUGAGUGGAACUGCGAGCGUAGAGGUGAAAUUCGUAGAUAUUCGCAAGAACACCAGUGGCGAAGGCGGCUCACUGGCCCGGUACUGACGCUGAGAUGCGAAAGCGUGGGGAGCAAAC
RNAcentral lists this ribosomal RNA (250 nucleotides) under uncultured bacterium. RNAcentral describes it as "partial 16S ribosomal RNA". It matches the Rfam family "Bacterial small subunit ribosomal RNA", at positions 524 to 773 of the family's 1533-position model. The record is from RNAcentral.